RNAcentral lists this ribosomal RNA (262 nucleotides) under uncultured archaeon. Its description in RNAcentral is "partial 16S ribosomal RNA". It matches the Rfam family "Archaeal small subunit ribosomal RNA", at positions 748 to 1009 of the family's 1478-position model. The record is from RNAcentral.
CAGCCGUAAACUAUGCUCGCUAGGUGUCAGGCAUGGCGCGACCGUGUCUGGUGCCGCAGGGAAGCCGUGAAGCGAGCCACCUGGGAAGUACGGCCGCAAGGCUGAAACUUAAAGGAAUUGGCGGGGGGAGCACCACAACGGGUGGAGCCUGCGGUUUAAUUGGACUCAACGCCGGGAAGCUCACCGGAUAGGACAGCAGAAUGAUUGCCGGGCUGAAGACCCUGCAUGACUAGCUGAGAGGUGGUGCAUGGCGUAGACGUCU